AUUGAACGCUGGCGGCAGGCCUAACACAUGCAAGUCGAGCGAGCGGCGGACGGGUGAGGAAUGUCUGGGAAACCGCCUGAUGGAGGGGGAUAACUACUGGAAACGGUAGCUAACACCGAAUACCAUCAGAUGUGCCCAGAAGGGAGUAGCUAGUAGGGGGGGUAACGGCACACCUAGGCGACGAUCCCUAGCUGGUCUGAGAGGAUGACCAGCCACACUGGAACUGAGACACGGUCCAGACGCCUACGGGAGGCAGCAGUGGUGAAUAUUGCACAAUGGGCGCAAGCCUGAGGCAGCCAUGCCGCGUGUAUGAAGAAGGCCUUCGGGUUGUAAAGUCCUUUCAGCGGGGAGGCGUUACCCGCAGAAGAAGCACCGGCUAACUCCGUGCCAGCAGCCGCGGUAAUUC
Molecule: ribosomal RNA, 406 nt
Filed under: uncultured bacterium
Lineage: Bacteria
Description: partial 16S ribosomal RNA
Rfam family: Bacterial small subunit ribosomal RNA
Source: RNAcentral